ACCUCACAAAUACUACAAUUGUAUCUGUACACUCCUCUGUAUAUCAGUUCAUCUGUACAUUUCUCCUCUGUAGGCUACAUAGGCAGGCUAUAUCUGUUCAUUCUCUGUAUAAAGGUAAACAUUCUU
Sphaeramia orbicularis (orbiculate cardinalfish) is the source of this 126-nucleotide long non-coding RNA. RefSeq lists it as uncharacterized. The transcript has 3 exons. Lineage: Eukaryota; Metazoa; Chordata; Actinopteri; Kurtiformes; Apogonidae. The record is from RefSeq and is a predicted model, not a curated record.